CCUACGGGAGGCAGCAGUAGGGAAUCUUCCACAAUGGACGAAAGUCUGAUGGAGCAACGCCGCGUGAGUGAAGACUGGUUUCGGCUCUUAAAGCUCUUUUGGUAGAGAAGAAAGGUAGAGGUAGUAACUGGCCUUUUUUUUACGGUAUUUACUUAGAAAGUCACGGCUACCUACGUGCCAGCAGCCGCUGUAAUACGUAGGUGGCAAGCGUUGUCCGGAUUUAUUGGGCGGAAAGGGAGUGCAGGCGGUUCGAUAAGUCUGAUGUGAAAGCCCUCGGCUCAACCGGAGAAUUGCAUCAGAAACUGUUGUACUUGAGUGCAGAAGAGGAGAGUGGAACUCCAUGUGUAGCGGUGGAAUGCGUAGAUAUAUGGAAGAACACCAGUGGCGAAGGCGGCUCACUGGUCUGCAACGGACGCUGAGGCUCGAAAGCAUGGGUAGCGAACAGGAUUAGAUACCCUAGUAGUC
This 465-nucleotide ribosomal RNA is filed under the name uncultured bacterium. RNAcentral's name for it is "partial 16S ribosomal RNA". It matches the Rfam family "Bacterial small subunit ribosomal RNA", at positions 338 to 795 of the family's 1533-position model. The record is from RNAcentral.